UGAGAGGGGUUUGGGAGAGAUUCUUUGAUUGGCUUGGGAAGAAGAAGGUAGAUGGAAUUAUUUUUGGUCUGGCUAGACCUAGUUCACGGUGAAUCGCAUUAAUUUUUACAUGGUUUAUUUUACGUUUGGGUUUCAAUAUAUCGUAGUGAUAUUAGACGUAAUUAAGUUGUUAAUUAGAGUGUUUUGCCUCUGUCGAAUGAACUAUAGUUAACUGAAAAAAACUUCUGGUGCACGCUGCUCGUGUUGGAUUGGGUGCAGCAAAAUUUGGAUGCUUAUAGUGGCUUAAAAGAUCAGCCAGGAACCAAUCUAUAAAUAGCAGUUUUGGUUGUUAGGACUAAUUCGUAAAAGAUGAGAAUUUUGUGAUUCAAGUGCCGUUGGACUUGUCUUGGAAAUACAGAUGAGAUCAUUUGGUCUAAUUAUCUAGAUUUACUGUAUAAUGUUUGUAAAAUUUUUAAUAGUUAAAGGGUUUGGUUAAAAAUAUAUUUUAUUUAGGUCUUUUCGUCGUUCUAGGUGCUGGGACUACCGUAAAACCUCAAUCUUAGAUUGUAACGAAUUUGUGAGCACUAAUAGAGGCAAGUAAAUAGCUACUUUUCUGCAAAUAGUAGAAAAUAUGCAGAUCCGAGUGGAUCCCAGGCACGAUUAUUAUCUAUUUUGGGCGUGUUUGGUUUGAAGUCGGAGUCGGAAUCGGAAUCGGAAUCAAGAUAAGCUGGAAUCGAAAUCGGAAUGACUCAUUACCUAAUUCUGUUUGGUUCAUCACCUGAAUCGGAAUCGGAAUAAAUCAUUCCCAUUGUCGGUGUUUGGUUCAGGUGGAUAUAAAAAACGUAAUCAAAUUAAUAUACUAACAUUAUCUUUAUAAUAUAUUAAUUUAAAUUCAAAUUAAAUAUUAAAA
RNAcentral lists this long non-coding RNA (889 nucleotides) under Ananas comosus (pineapple). RNAcentral's name for it is "long non-coding RNA (ACOM_LNC023236)". The record is from RNAcentral. Lineage: Eukaryota; Viridiplantae; Streptophyta; Magnoliopsida; Poales; Bromeliaceae.